This 350-nucleotide ribosomal RNA is filed under the name Escherichia coli. RNAcentral's name for it is "bacterial SSU rRNA". It matches the Rfam family "Bacterial small subunit ribosomal RNA", at positions 1 to 347 of the family's 1533-position model. The record is from RNAcentral. Lineage: Bacteria; Pseudomonadati; Pseudomonadota; Gammaproteobacteria; Enterobacterales; Enterobacteriaceae.
AAAUUGAAGAGUUUGAUCAUGGCUCAGAUUGAACGCUGGCGGCAGGCCUAACACAUGCAAGUCGAACGGUAACAGGAAACAGCUUGCUGUUUCGCUGACGAGUGGCGGACGGGUGAGUAAUGUCUGGGAAACUGCCUGAUGGAGGGGGAUAACUACUGGAAACGGUAGCUAAUACCGCAUAACGUCGCAAGACCAAAGAGGGGGACCUUCGGGCCUCUUGCCAUCGGAUGUGCCCAGAUGGGAUUAGCUAGUAGGUGGGGUAAAGGCUCACCUAGGCGACGAUCCCUAGCUGGUCUGAGAGGAUGACCAGCCACACUGGAACUGAGACACGGUCCAGACUCCUACGGGAG